GGGCCCGUAACUCAGCUUGGUAGAAGAAUUUCGCCAAAAGUGACCGACUCAUAAUCGGUUUGUCGUGGGAUCGAAGCCCACCGGGCCCA
RNAcentral lists this transfer RNA (89 nucleotides) under Nitrososphaerota archaeon. RNAcentral's name for it is "Thaumarchaeota archaeon (marine metagenome) tRNA-Ile". It matches the Rfam family "tRNA". From Rfam's summary of the family: Transfer RNA (tRNA) molecules are approximately 80 nucleotides in length. Their secondary structure includes four short double-helical elements and three loops (D, anti-codon, and T loops). RNAcentral also lists the same sequence under 1 other name. The record is from RNAcentral. Lineage: Archaea; Thermoproteati; Nitrososphaerota.